Molecule: ribosomal RNA, 300 nt
Filed under: Symbiodinium sp. clade D
Lineage: Eukaryota; Dinophyceae; Suessiales; Symbiodiniaceae
Description: partial Eukaryotic large subunit ribosomal RNA
Rfam family: Eukaryotic large subunit ribosomal RNA
Source: RNAcentral
AAAGGAACACUUUGUUUGGAUACUUGGUAAAUCCAACUAGUGGAAACACUAGAGUUGCGACGCCAGCAUCCGUUGGAUCACAGCUGAACGCCUCUAAGCUGGAAUCCAUGCUGGGUGUGCAGUGUUUGUAUCCGCCUUUGUGGUGACAUGAUAAAGCGUAGGCUCUGCUUACUUGCGUUGGAGUGGCUGCCACAAGCCUUCCUUCGGGUCACAAGGACCAACUGCAAGGCGACAAAGUCACAUGCAUAUGACUUGUCUGAAACCAGGUACUGUAAGUGCUGAGAGUAGCCAUUGUGCUAC